AAGGAGUCUGACAUGUACGCGAGUACUUGGGUGUCAAGCCUAUGUGCGCAAUGAAAGUAAACAUGGUGGAAUAUUUGCACCGUCGACCGGUCUGGAUAUGUUGGAAAGGGCUGGGUAAGAGCGUAUCUGCUGGGACCCGAAAGAUGGUGAACCAUGCCUGGAUAGGUUGAAGCCAGAGGAAACGCAGGUGGAGGCUCGUAGCGAUUCUGACGUGCAAAUCGUUCGUCAAAUUUGGGUAUAGGGGCGAAAGACUAAUCGAACCAUCUAGUAGCUGGUUCCCUC
RNAcentral lists this unclassified non-coding RNA (282 nucleotides) under uncultured fungus. Its description in RNAcentral is "partial contains 5.8S rRNA, ITS2 and 28S rRNA". It matches the Rfam family "Eukaryotic large subunit ribosomal RNA", at positions 668 to 961 of the family's 3401-position model. Lineage: Eukaryota; Fungi. The record is from RNAcentral.